Molecule: ribosomal RNA, 460 nt
Filed under: uncultured bacterium
Lineage: Bacteria
Description: partial 16S ribosomal RNA
Rfam family: Bacterial small subunit ribosomal RNA
Source: RNAcentral
CCUACGGGAGGCUGCAGUGAGGAAUAUUGGUCAAUGGCCGGAAGGCUGAACCAGCCAUGCCGCGUGAAGGUCAGUGCCCUAUGGGCGUUAAACUUCUUUUGUGCGGGAGCAAUAAUGGUCACGUGUGGCCAGACGAGAGUACCGUACGAAUAAGCAUCGGCUAACUCCGUGCCAGCAGCCGGGGUAAUACGGGGGAUGCAAGCGUUUUCCGGAUUUAUUGGGUUUAAAGGGUGCGUAGGCUGGGAGGUAAGUCAGCGGUGAAAUGCCCCCGCUCAACGGGGUGAAGUGCCAUUGAUACUGCCCUGCUAGAAUGCGGAUGCCGUAGGAGGAAUGUGUGGUGUAGCGGUGAAAUGCAUAGAGAUCACACAGAACACCGAUUGCGAAGGCAGCUCACGAAUCCGCGAUUGACGCUGAUGCACGAAAGCGUGGGUAUCAAACAGGAUUAGAUACCCGAGUAGUC